GACGUAGGGCGCGAGCGUUGUCCGGAUUUAUUGGGCGUAAAGGGCUCGUAGGCGGUUUUGUCGCGUCGGGGAGUGAAAACUCAGGGCUUAACCCUGAGCCUGCUUCCGAUACGGGCAGACUAGAGGUAUGCAGGGGGAGAAUGGAAUUCCUGGUGUAGCGGUGAAAUGCGCAGAUAUCAGGAGGAACACCGGUGGCGAAGGCGGGUCUCUGGGCAGUAACUGACGCUGAGGAGCGAAAGCGUGGGGAGCGAACAGG
Molecule: ribosomal RNA, 256 nt
Filed under: uncultured bacterium
Lineage: Bacteria
Description: partial 16S ribosomal RNA
Rfam family: Bacterial small subunit ribosomal RNA
Source: RNAcentral